This 497-nucleotide ribosomal RNA is filed under the name uncultured bacterium. RNAcentral's name for it is "partial 16S ribosomal RNA". It matches the Rfam family "Bacterial small subunit ribosomal RNA", at positions 28 to 507 of the family's 1533-position model. The record is from RNAcentral.
GAUGAACGCUGGCGGCGUGCCUAAUACAUGCAAGUCGAGCGAACGGACGAGAAGCUUGCUUCUCUGAUGUUAGCGGCGGACGGGUGAGUAACACGUGGAUAACCUACCUAUAAGACUGGGAUAACUUCGGGAAACCGGAGCUAAUACCGGAUAAUAUUUUGAACCGCAUGGUUCAAAAGUGAAAGACGGUCUUGCUGCCACUUAUAGAUGGAUCCGCGCUGCAUUAGCUAGUUGGUAAGGUAACGGCUUACCAAGGCAACGAUGCAUAGCCGACCUGAGAGGGUGAUCGGCCACACUGGAACUGAGACACGGUCCAGACUCCUACGGGAGGCAGCAGUAGGGAAUCUUCCGCAAUGGGCAAAAGCCUGACGGAGCAACGCCGCGUGAGUGAUGAAGGUCUUCGGAUCGUAAAACUCUGUUAUUAGGGAAGAACAUAUGUGUAAGUAACUGUGCACAUCUUGACGGUACCUAAUCAGAAAGCUACGGCUAACUACGUG